RNAcentral lists this ribosomal RNA (253 nucleotides) under uncultured bacterium. RNAcentral's name for it is "partial 16S ribosomal RNA". It matches the Rfam family "Bacterial small subunit ribosomal RNA", at positions 524 to 776 of the family's 1533-position model. The record is from RNAcentral.
UACAGAGGGUGCAAGCGUUGUUCGGAAUUAUUGGGCGUAAAGGGCUCGUAGGCGGCUUGUUGCGUCGACUGUGAAAACCCGCGGCUUAACUGCGGGCUUGCAGUUGAUACGGGCAGGCUAGAGUUCGGUAGGGGAGACUGGAAUUCCUGGUGUAGCGGUGAAAUGCGCAGAUAUCAGGAGGAACACCGAUGGCGAAGGCAGCCCCCUGGGUCAAGAUUGACGCUCAUGCACGAAAGCGUGGGGAGCAAACAGG